CACCUGAUCCCAUGCCGAACUCAGAAGUGAAACGCGGUAGCGCCGAUGGUAGUGUGGCAUUCGCCAUGCGAGAGUAGGACACUGCCAGGC
This 90-nucleotide ribosomal RNA is filed under the name Aeromonas hydrophila. RNAcentral also lists the same sequence under 6 other names. The record is from RNAcentral. Lineage: Bacteria; Pseudomonadati; Pseudomonadota; Gammaproteobacteria; Aeromonadales; Aeromonadaceae.